Thunnus maccoyii (southern bluefin tuna) is the source of this 2991-nucleotide long non-coding RNA. RefSeq lists it as uncharacterized. Lineage: Eukaryota; Metazoa; Chordata; Actinopteri; Scombriformes; Scombridae. The record is from RefSeq and is a predicted model, not a curated record. The transcript has 2 exons.
CAUACAGAUACAAAGCUGUUGUCAGUCUUUGAAUCUGUAGCAUCUGAACUGCGUCACUGCUUCGGGUCAUAAUUUGGCCACUAGAUGGCAUCUGUCACUCAAACAUAACUAUUGGUCAUUUUUUUUGGGCGACUAACAUUACGACCUCUUGUUUUGUCUCGUAAAUCAGACAGACUUGGAGCUGCUUCUGGCUCAAUUUCUACAAAAAAAAAAAGUUAAAAGACUUAUUUGUAUUGUAGUAUUACCCCUAAAUUCCACCGGGCGCCGUGUUCCUGCUCCGACGCGGCUGCCGGAGCUGAUCGCAGCCACUCUAGUCAAUGUAUCCGAUUCCACCGGGUGCGCCGCGGUGCGUUUCAGAAGAGUCACAGAGGUGAUAGGUGCCUCGUCUAUUUUUUACGGAAGCCUUUAAACUGACUUUAAAUGGCGGAUGGCUUCCCCGCAGUGAAGACGCUCCGCUUCUGACACGCUCCCGGUGGAAUAGUGCGCUGUGCAGAGGACGGAGCAAAACCGCGUCGGAGCCGGAACGCGGCGAACACGCACCCGGUGGAAUCCCGGGAUUACUAGUAAAUGUGGGAAGAACGACGAUGAGCUUUUCCUUCACGGCGCCUUGUCAAACCAAAAUACAUCCCUGCUACGACCACUCCUCCUCCUUCUCCUCUUCUUCUUCCUCUUCUUCUUCUUCUCCUUCUUCUUCUUCGUCUGAUGAAGGUGAAAUAAACUCUGGAUGAAAACACACUGACACUCAUAGGAAACACAGAGCUAUGAGACGCCUUUCCAUUACAAGAGGACAUCCUGACUGAUUUUUUUGCACAGAGCAAAAGUGAGGAGGACUCUGAGGUACGACAAAACGUUACUUGAAUCAUCUGCUACGUGUAUUUACAACAUGUCUGCUGGCUAACAGAGUCCUCCAUGUAUUCAUGAGUAGAUGUUUUUUGGGAGACUGCUCCUCUUGCUGUAGAGAAAAAAGAACUUGUAAGUCCUGUCUGUACGUUGCAUAUCAUAUUCAAACCAAAACAUAUUAUUGCAUGCUUGGAAAGUAGAGCAUGUAAACAGAAGAAAAGUUUGACUUUUGUGACAACGGCUCAACCCAGCACAGCGAAUCUGAAAUAUGGGAACAACAACAACAACAGCUCAUCGAUAUCAAGUUUAUUGAAAUAAUUCUGUUUUAAAGGUGGAGUUAGUUGCAAAAUCUAUAUUUUUUAAAGUAUCAUACUGUAUAUGUUUUAUAUAUGGAUAGGAAUUGGUUAACCUUGUGAGUUAUUUUGUAGAUUUUUAACAUUUUUGCUAAUAUAUUUUGAUUUUUAUGUUGAUUUUUUUUUGCCUUGGUAAAAACAAAGCAGCUCCAGUGGGCAGCUCUGAUGAAACGUCUGCCUGCCAAAAACACUUUAAAAAAAAAAAAACAACAAAGAUUAAAAAUGUAAAAGAAGAAUGUUGGGAAAUUUAAACAAAAGACAGUCGAAACGCAUUUAUCGCAGACAUUUGACAUCUGAUUUUUUUUUGUUUUUAAAAAAAAACUGAUUUUGAAUGUUUCUGAUUGUGUUUGGGGGUUUUUGAUCAGAAUGCUGUAUCUCUGUUAUAUCAAUAACAUCUACCUCAGUGUCCGCUCAUUAACGACAGAAGCUUUAACACCUGAAUGACGUUGGUGUCUUUCCAUUAUCAGACCUGGGUUGAGUUUUUAAAUGCCUCUCUGUAAUUAUCUGGUGCAAUUAAAUAAAACCCAAAUGCUCUAUAAACUGCCAUUUAAUAACAGAGAGAAAAUCCAAAAAAGGUAAAUGCUACAGAUGCUGGUAGAGGAAACGUAUCACCUACAGUAAUACAUCACCAUAUUAAAUAGGGUUGAAUAUAUAUUGAAGCCAAUAUUGGCCUUUAAUUUAAUAUCAGAUGUCAUCCAGCCUGACUGAUGCUACAGCAAAACAGCUUAGAGCCUGACAUGUUGAUUUUCUUUGCACAUUUUAUUAAUUUAUUUGUGAAAUUGUGUCAAAUAUGUGUGUGAGCGAGUGUGACUGUUUAUAAUUUAAUUGUUGAUUUAAGGGCAAUAAUGUACUGCAGAGUGGGUCAGCCUGUCUUAAAGAACUGCUACACCUAAACCUAAAUAACUAAAUAAAAGGUUUAAUGUCGGUUGAUGGUCUAAAAUGUUGAAAAGAAUCCAGUUUUGUGGAGAUGCUUAAAGCCUGUAACUUUUAGGCACAAUAUUGGGGACAUUUAAAGGAAAAGUUUGACAUUUUUUUGGGAAAAUCUUCUGUUGUUUUCUGUCACCCCCAAUGAUGUCCCCGGGUCCGGGACGCAUUUAGCCUAGCUUAGCUUAGCACAAGAGGGUGCACAGGGAUGAAACUGAUAUCCAUCUUCUCAUCUGACCCUGGUAAAGAGGACAAAACAAACAUAUUUCCCAAAAAUGUGAGUGUUAAUGAUCAUCCUUAAACCUUUGUCCUGGUCUGUAAAAAGUUGUAUCCAUCAAACUCUUUGCAUCUACUCUGCAGUUUGGUCUUUGUUGUAAUUCUGCUUUGCUUAAGCAUAAAAACAGCCAAGGGAUAUUUCUGUUUGACAGAGGCACUGAUGAGCUGUGACUGGGCAUUAGUUGUGAUGAUUAAUGUGUUCUGCAUACUGUAUGUGCAAUAAUAAUACAGUAUUCCCCCUGUGAGAGCAGAAACGUCCUGAUGACUAAAGAGUCCAGUCAGAUUACCACAUAUUUAACCGUCACUUCACCACAUGAAACAUCCAUCGUAACGUCUUGGAGGACGUUUUCAUGCUGCUUCAUCAUCAGCUGCAGAGUUCAGUUCAGGCUUGUCACCAAAUUAUGUCAUUUUCAUGCAAAAAUAAGAGAAAGCAAUAGUGUGAGUGAUUACUGUGCUCUGGGAACUUCAGUGUAGAAGCAAAAUGCAUUUUAAUUUCUUUUUUUUUUUGUUUUUUUUUAUUUCCAGUUACUGUUGCCAUGUUUAAUUUGGCAAUUUUCAAUUGUGAUCUAUUUUUGAUAAAAUAAAUCUUUAAUGCUGA